Molecule: small RNA, 122 nt
Filed under: Marmota monax (woodchuck)
Lineage: Eukaryota; Metazoa; Chordata; Mammalia; Rodentia; Sciuridae
Source: RNAcentral
GGGCAUGGUGGCACAUGCCUGUAAUCCCAGAGGCUUGGAAAGCUGAGACAGGAGGAUCGUGAGUUCAAAGCCAGCCUCAGCAACAGUGGGGUACUAAGCAACUCGGUGAGACCCUGUCUCUA